GGAAGGUUAGACACAGGAAUCAAGCUUGGUCCGUGCCCUCAGGGGUCACAGGCUGCUGGGGGAGAAACAAACAGGUUGGGUCCCAUUGCUGGAGUCAGUGUCUUGCAUCAUUCAGCGGAGAGCUGGUCCCUCUCUGUAGUCCUGGAAACUGCAGGACGGAAGAGAGAAGACUAACGAGAACGCCAACCCUCGGGUUCAGCGUGCGGAAAGCCAAACGCUUCCCGCAAUAGCGUACACGGCCGGCAACCUGCGAGAAAUAGGCAAGUGGAAGGCACAGGUCUCCGCGGCGCUUAGAGAGGAAAGGAGGGUUAAAUGCAGAGACCACCAAUCAGAACUAGAACCCUCUAGUCCAGCUGCCCAAUGAGAAAGAGGAUCUUCUGUAGCCCGGACGACCACGCGGCUGGGCUCUAAACUCACCGUGUUCCACGUAAGUGAUAAAUGCCAGAGACAGCAGCACCGCAGCCAGAUGGAAGCUGAAGCCCUGGUGGGGCCCCAGGGGGCAAUGAGGAACACCCUGUGCUCUUCCUGUCCUGCACAACCUCACGAGGAGUAGCCAGGGGACCCACCCACGGGGACCCACCCACCCUUCUGCCAACAGUGUGGGGACGAGGGCUCACACCCAUACCCCAUGAGCAGGUAGAUCAGGAUGGUGACGGAGAGGAAGACGCCUCGAUGGGAGGAAUGUCGGCAGAGGAACAGCACGAGGUAGCACAGGAGGCUGAGCAGCACAACCCAGACCAUGUGCAGCUGGAAGAAGUGGUAGAGGCUGAAGAACCCUCCUGCCACGGUGCUUGCGUGCUUCAGGAAUUGAAAUGCAACCUUGGGAUAUCGGGAUGAUGUUCUAACCAACUGCGCCACCCAACCAGGGCCAAAUCCUGGGUUUAAAGAAAAGAAACAUCUAUAAAGGACAUUUGGGAACCCUGGGAGAAAUCCCGUACUUAUUCACCUGGCACGGAGGGUGACCUCAGCAAGUAGCGCGUGAACCAGGAGGCGAGUUCGGAGCACCCGAUCGAUCCGGAGCCUUUAUGAAGCUUUUACAGCGUCCCCAACAAUGCUUCCUCUUGGGCUCUGUCUGCGCCAACACAGGAUUUACGCGACACCUGCUGUCUGCCUCCCCUACCGUGCGGUGUCUGGGCACCCCACUCAGUCCCUAGGCUGAUGAAGGGCCUAUUUUUCCAAAGGAACAUUUGCCGCGCAAGUACUGCGUGCUUAGCUGUGAUGUGGCAGGGAGAAGGAAGCCCAGAUGAAGCUGGACCCCCGCCGUCACCUGAGGAGCUAAGGAAAACAGGCUCUAAUCAGAUUAGUACUUGCCUCUAUGGAGCUGGGCGAGUCAUGCCCACUCACUGGGCUUUGGUGUCCCUUUCUCUUAAACAAAAGAAUGGGAUUAGCAGUUCUUUGCUUGGAAAUACCGGUGGCAAUUGAAGAGCAACGUGUGUCUCCCCUCUUUAAAAUAAAUGUUAACGUGAAGUUAAAUGGAGUUUUAACUCAUAAAUUAAUAUUCAUGUAUUACAAACAAAAAAGUUGAAUCCAGUAAUUAUGAAUAAAUUACAUAGACCAGA
Long non-coding RNA from Myotis myotis, 1559 nucleotides. RefSeq lists it as uncharacterized. The transcript is spliced from 5 exons. The record is from RefSeq and is a predicted model, not a curated record. Lineage: Eukaryota; Metazoa; Chordata; Mammalia; Chiroptera; Vespertilionidae.